This 301-nucleotide ribosomal RNA is filed under the name uncultured bacterium. Its description in RNAcentral is "partial 16S ribosomal RNA". It matches the Rfam family "Bacterial small subunit ribosomal RNA", at positions 509 to 807 of the family's 1533-position model. The record is from RNAcentral.
CAGCAGCCACGGUAAUACGUAGGGCGCAAGCGUUGUCCGGAAUUAUUGGGCGUAAAGAGCUCGUAGGCGGUCUGUCGCGUCUGGUGUGAAAUCCCGAGGCUCAACCUCGGGCUUGCAUCGGGUACGGGCAGACUAGAGUGCGGUAGGGGAGACUGGAAUUCCUGGUGUAGCGGUGGAAUGCGCAGAUAUCAGGAGGAACACCGAUGGCGAAGGCAGGUCUCUGGGCCGCAACUGACGCUGAGGAGCGAAAGCAUGGGGAGCAAACAGGAUUAGAUACCCCGGUAGUCCCUGUCUCUUAUAC